DGUGGUUAUUACAGCAAAGAGGAUACACCUGUUCCCAUUCCGAACACAGAAGUUAAGCUCUUUAGCGCCGAUGGUACUUGGUGGGAAGCUGCCUGGGAGAGUAGGACGUAGCCGCGU
RNAcentral lists this ribosomal RNA (117 nucleotides) under Paraclostridium bifermentans. Lineage: Bacteria; Bacillati; Bacillota; Clostridia; Peptostreptococcales; Peptostreptococcaceae. The record is from RNAcentral.